Molecule: long non-coding RNA, 1147 nt
Filed under: Linum usitatissimum (flax)
Lineage: Eukaryota; Viridiplantae; Streptophyta; Magnoliopsida; Malpighiales; Linaceae
Description: long non-coding RNA (LUSI_LNC007914)
Source: RNAcentral
CGUAGGAAACGCCAUAUAUAAAUAAGAAAUAUGAAUGUGGGAUGAGCAAAAAUUCGACAAGGAAGCUGGAAAAGUAUAUAUAGUAAAAGUAGAGAAAGGAUUCCUGAAAAUAAAAAGUGACGACGGAAACGACAAACGGCAGCAUACGUGGUUUCCAGGCUUUCGAGGUACGUCGUUAGCAUCAACGAACCACCACAUUGGGCGGUGGGUCUCCAAAUCCUAAGUACGUACCUUUUCAUUCCACAUUUUGAUCUGUACUGCAUCUGCCGAUGCACCCACCGUAUUUAUGUUUCCCAGACUAUCUAUAUUUUAACAUGCACGUGGAACAAUCAACGACAUGCAGUUUCAAUUUUUUCCCCACAAGGUUGUUAUAUGCAUCAUGCAUACAUGCCUGCGUAGCGUACGAUGAUCAGCCCAAUGGGCAAUGGGGAUUGGAACAAGUAAUUAGGCAUGAUUGAUGUCAGUUUCUUAACCAAUAACAAUUCGUUUUGAACUUAUUUCGAAACCUGCAGGAAAGCUAGCCAAAGAUGUGGAAUUUCCCCGAAUCCAUUUAGCUUAGCAAAGGGUUUACGUCCGUUGUAUGUUGAAGCUAAGGAAGGUUGCAGCUGAAGCAAUUAAUAAUCCAGCAUGCAAAAUAAAUUCGACAAUGCGAAAACUUGCAACGUACAAAACGAAGAAGUAGGUACAAAUGUUGGUAUUGCUUGCAAUGGUGAAGGUGGUUUAAAGGGACAUCGGUUACGUACAUAAGACCGUAGUCAUAUGAACAGGAUCAGUUUCUGCCUAUGAUUUAUGGCAAUCUAUGAUCACUUUUUAUUUAGUUCCAAGCUAGACUAUAAUUUUUUAUUUUCUUUCACAAAAACCAUCGACUUUUGUAUUUUCGGAGAAUAGAAGUGUAGAAACAUACAAGACACCCCAUCGGAGGUGCAGACCUUGCGAGCAAGACUACAUGGAUCGCGGGUCCUCACAAGUAAGUGACCUCAAUCCUUUCUCUCCAAUCUAAAAGGCUUACAAUUUCAAAGGUACUACCAAACUAACAAGGAAGAAACUAGCAAGAAAAAACAACCCGAAGUUGAAAACCUAGCGAACAUGAAGGACAACAUUCUUAUUAGGCUAUCACCGAGCGAGGCUAGGACCUCGGCUAACCUGG